Molecule: ribosomal RNA, 445 nt
Filed under: uncultured bacterium
Lineage: Bacteria
Description: partial 16S ribosomal RNA
Rfam family: Bacterial small subunit ribosomal RNA
Source: RNAcentral
GUAGGGAAUAUUGGGCAAUGGAAGCAAUUCUGACCCAGCCAUGCCGCGUGAAGGAAUACAGCCCUAUGGGUUUUAAACUUCUUUUAUUAUAGAGUAAACGGAGGUACGUGUACCUCCCUGCAAGUAUAUGAUGAAUAAGGAUCGGCUAACUCCGUGCCAGCAGCCGCGGUAAUACGGAGGAUCCAAGCGUUAUCCGGAUUUAUUGGGUUUAAAGGGUGCGCAGGCGGAUCAAUAAGUCAGGGGUGAAAAAUUUCAGCUUAACUGGAAUCGUGCCUUUGAUACUGUUGGACUAGAGUAUAAUUGACGUGACUGGAAUGUGAUGUGUAGCGGUGAAAUGCUUAGAUAUGUCACAGAACGCCAAUCGUGAAGACAGGUCACGAAAUUAUUACUGACGCUCAUGCACGAAAGCGUGGGGAUCAAACAGGAUUAGAAACCCGGGUAGUCC